Molecule: transfer RNA, 70 nt
Filed under: Erythrocercus mccallii
Lineage: Eukaryota; Metazoa; Chordata; Aves; Passeriformes; Dicruridae
Also listed under: 1 other name
Rfam family: tRNA
About the family: Transfer RNA (tRNA) molecules are approximately 80 nucleotides in length. Their secondary structure includes four short double-helical elements and three loops (D, anti-codon, and T loops). Further hydrogen bonds mediate the characteristic L-shaped molecular structure. tRNAs have two regions of fundamental functional importance: the anti-codon, which is responsible for specific mRNA codon recognition, and the 3' end, to which the tRNAs corresponding amino acid is attached (by aminoacyl-tRNA synthetases). tRNAs cope with the degeneracy of the genetic code in two manners: having more than one tRNA (with a specific anti-codon) for a particular amino acid; and 'wobble' base-pairing, i.e. permitting non-standard base-pairing at the 3rd anti-codon position.
Source: Rfam by way of RNAcentral
CAGAAAAUAGUUUAAUGAAAAAUGCCAGCUUUGGGAGUUGGUGAUAAAGGUUUAAUUCCUUUUUUUCUGA